RNAcentral lists this long non-coding RNA (359 nucleotides) under Helianthus annuus (common sunflower). RNAcentral describes it as "hypothetical non coding rna". Lineage: Eukaryota; Viridiplantae; Streptophyta; Magnoliopsida; Asterales; Asteraceae. The record is from RNAcentral.
UUUUACAACCCUUAAACACUCUCAAAAACCAUCUCAAAGUCUCUAAAUUCGCAGCAAUAACUCAAGUUCGGACAGAUUGUCCAGCCUUCACUAAAUUCAUGACCCUCCUUAAGGACUUGGUGUUCCAACUUCCUAAUCAACCAACUCACUCGCGGAUUCAAGUAGAAGACUUGCAAAACCGUUGAUGAGGAAGAUGCUAAGAAAUGAAGUAGCGUUGAUGCCUAGAUACACAUAUAGACGUUAGGGUUUAAUAUGUUGUAUAAAUUUUGUUAUGUUGUUAUGUUUCUUUUGUUAAACUUGUUGUAUUUGAAUUUCUUGUAAUGUUGACAAUUUGUCUUAUGAAAUGAAAUCGGAUUAUU